Long non-coding RNA from Myotis myotis, 2756 nucleotides. RefSeq lists it as uncharacterized. The transcript has 4 exons. The record is from RefSeq and is a predicted model, not a curated record. Lineage: Eukaryota; Metazoa; Chordata; Mammalia; Chiroptera; Vespertilionidae.
CGUGUCCCCAGAAAGCCAGUCAGAAAUGAACACGGCCGUGCCCUGUCCCAGAUACAUAAAAAUAACGUUACUGUACACGACCCACAGCGAGCCAGAUUCUCUGCAUUUUUUUCCAAUUUCCAAAAAUAGUUGGGACUUUCUGCCAGCGAGCCGGGCUUGGAUUCCCAGGAAGAGCACGUCGGCGCGGACACAAGGAGCUGCUGGAGAGCGGCUCUCGGGCCUCUGCCCUCCGCCCGCCCGCCCGCUGACAGCCGAGCAGAGCAUCCUGCAGGGGAGACAGCGGCCAUGGCGUCAGGGAGACGGCUCGUCCGUCCGUGGAAACAUCGGCCGCCUUUCCCGUCCCGGGAUCCAGCCCUUUCCUUACCGGUUUGAGGACUCGCUCAUCCGAAGGUGCAGAACCCUCUGCCACUGUCUAAGCCACAAGGACCAGGUACCGAUCGCCCAGCCUCCCUUGCAGCUAGAAUCUGGGUCCGUGGCGUUGGCUCCUGGUUGAGGGCCACAGGGUGCUGAGACGUUUGGUUCAACAACAUUCAGGAAGACGGUUCCGGAAACGCUUCUUUGGACUCUCUCUUCCCACCUCAGUUGUCCGUCUCCACCCAGCUGCUCACGGAGCAUCGGCCACGGGAAACGUCCGUGCUUCUCCCUGAUGAAUCCGGAGCUUCCACUGGGGACGAAGGCGCUGUUCUCUCGCCACCUCGGCAGCUCACACCUGAGCGCCCACAGGAAGCGUCGGCCGGUCAGACCUCAGCUCUGCCCGGGGGGACGGGGCAGGAACGAUGGUCGCGAUGGUCUCAGCUGGACCGGCCGCCGCGGCGGGUCUCACUUCAGAAUCGAGACUUGACGGGGAUGGAGGCACCGCGGCUGCGCUGUGGCCGGGCCAGUUCCUCUCGAAGGGCUUGGGUUUAAUUUGCCUGCCGCUCGUUACUGACUUACCUUCUGCUGUGAUGGAGGCCGAAGGAGGCAAGCCCAGGGCCCAGCCUCAGAGGCGUCCGGACGCAAAUGGACGGGUACCCGUCUCUGGCAAUCGGUCCCAGGCGAGCGCAGGCCAGCUGGCCGGCCCCUCGCCGCUCUCUGCAGACUGCGAGUCUGUGGGAACGCGGGCUGAUCGCGAGGCUGAGCUUGUCUGGUCUCAUGCUUAUUAGCUGCUGUAUCGCUUUCCACACGACAACUGUAACCCACUGUCGCCCCGUCCUGCGCACAGAAGAAUAAGGCUUAGGCAAUGCUUCAGAGGUUACCAAACUGGUUGGAAAAACAAAGUGAGGAUUUUGAAAUCCUAAUUUACAAAUGACUUAUCUUCUUAUUAACCAUUAGAAGUCACUCAUAAAAGUCGUACGUGUGUUGUAAUCAUUAGCAUCUCCUGGAGGAGACACAAUACAACAGAAGAGAUGUGGUCAGUUUCACAGAUGACGGAGCAAAGGGGACCCGGAAUCGGGGAACCAGGAGGUGCCCGUGUCAUGUGUAAGUGGGACGUGUAACCCCCGCGGAUAUGAGGUAUCUAUUUGUAUAUAAGUGGGACGUGUAACCCCCGUGGAUACGAUGUAUCUAUUUGUAUAUAAGUGGGAUGUGUAACCCCAUGGAUACAAUGUAUCUAUUUGUAUAUAAGUGGGAUGUGUAACCCCAUGGAUACGAUGUAUCUAUUUGUAUAUAAGUGGGAUGUGUAACCCCCGUGGAUACGAUGUAUCCAUUUGUAUAUAAGUGGGAUCUGUAGCCCCAUGGGCCCUGGGCGUGUCUCCUUCGGCCUCCGUCCUUCCUCAGCCACGGCUACUCCUGUGGUUCGCUGCUUCCUGUUGCCCUGUCCGGCCCCACGGACCUGACGACAGCCCGGCCCUCGGUGCUUUGGUUCGGAAGCAGCACCAGGGCCGCCUCAGCCCCGACUGGACGGCGAGGAGAUGGAGGGCGAUGUGCGGAGCCCAGCGGCCACCCGCUCCCCCAGAAGAAACGCCCCCAUUGUCUCCGGCACAGAAUUCCCCAUAACCAGGAGGCAUGAUUAUUACCUGGAAUCACAGACGGUGGCACUGAGGCACCGAUGGUCACCCAACCCGUCCGGGGCCUCAACACGACGCAGGAGGGACUCACAUGCGGCCGACGCCAGCUGAGCUGGAUUGCAGGUCCUGGCAAUUGUCAUCACACGGAUCAGGAACGUGGAGGCUGCGGGAGAGGAAGGCACAGGCCACGUGACCAGCGUCGCGCCCGCCCCCGGAGCUCAGCCCCCAUGACAGGCCUGCCCCGCGCGAAGACGUCCACUCUGUGCAGCAGCAGAACUGGAUUCGGGCCCUGCCGGGCGUCACAGCCCCGCCUGACCCUGUGGCCAGUGGAAUCCCGGUUGGCGACGGCAUGGCCGCAGGCCAGGAGGGCUCGCCCGGAGCAGCAGUCACGGGUCACACACAAGUCCAUCUGGGAGGGAAGAAGGGACGCCUGUGGGUCUCAGAUCAGCGUGAUCUCUGCUCCUCCCCGGGGGCCCCGGUCCGAGUGCUGGGACCCGGUGUGGACGGGACCCUGGCGUGGGCGGCACAGGCCGGGAACGGCCUUGGUGCUGCGUGCCACAGCCUCCCCAUCCACUUCCUCAGCCGCCCGGUCCGUCCUGCCCCCCUCCCCGCCCCCCAGCCGCCCACCUGUGCCGGCCUCCAUGAACAGCACCUGGCAGGGGUGUCUGUGUGCCCAGACAGCUCAGCAUUUUUAUUUAUUUUAAAACAUAUUUUUAUUGAUUUCAGAGAGGUAGGGAGAGGGAGAGAGAAACAUCCAUGAUGAGAGAGAAU